GAUGAACGCUGGCGGCGUGCCUAAUACAUGCAAGUCGAGCGAACAGACGAGGAGCUUGCUCCUCUGACGUUAGCGGCGGACGGGUGAGUAACACGUGGAUAACCUACCUAUAAGACUGGGAUAACUUCGGGAAACCGGAGCUAAUACCGGAUAAUAUAUGGAACCGCAUGGUUCAAUAGUGAAAGACGGUUUUGCUGUCACUUAUAGAUGGAUCCGCGCCGCAUUAGCUGGUUGGUAAGUUAACGGCUUACCAAGGCAACGAUGCGUAGCCGACCUGAGAGGGUGAUCGGCCACACUGGAACUGGACCACGGUCAAGACUCCUACGGGAGGCAGCAGUAGGGAAUCUUCCGCAAUGGGCGAAAGCCUGCCGGAGCACCGCCGCGUGAGUGAUGAAGGUCUUCGGAUCGUAAAACUCUGUUAUUAGGGAAGAACAAAUGUGUAAGUAACUAUGCACGUCUUGACGGUACCUAAUCAGAAAGCCACGGCUAACUACGUG
Molecule: ribosomal RNA, 497 nt
Filed under: uncultured bacterium
Lineage: Bacteria
Description: partial 16S ribosomal RNA
Rfam family: Bacterial small subunit ribosomal RNA
Source: RNAcentral